Molecule: ribosomal RNA, 1048 nt
Filed under: uncultured soil bacterium
Lineage: Bacteria
Description: bacterial SSU rRNA
Rfam family: Bacterial small subunit ribosomal RNA
Source: RNAcentral
GAGUUUGAUCCUGGCUCAGGACGAACGCUGGCGGCGUGCUUAACACAUGCAAGUCGAACGGAAAGGCCCUGCUUUUGUGGGGUGCUCGAGUGGCGAACGGGUGAGUAACACGUGAGUAACCUGCCCUUGACUUUGGGAUAACUUCAGGAAACUGGGGCUAAUACCGGAUAGGAGCUCCUGCUGCAUGGUGGGGGUUGGAAAGUUUCGGCGGUUGGGGAUGGACUCGCGGCUUAUCAGCUUGUUGGUGGGGUAGUGGCUUACCAAGGCUUUGACGGGUAGCCGGCCUGAGAGGGUGACCGGCCACAUUGGGACUGAGAUACGGCCCAGACUCCUACGGGAGGCAGCAGUGGGGAAUAUUGCACAAUGGGCGGAAGCCUGAUGCAGCAACGCCGCGUGCGGGAUGACGGCCUUCGGGUUGUAAACCGCUUUCGCCUGUGACGAAGCGUGAGUGACGGUAAUGGGUAAAGAAGCACCGGCUAACUACGUGCCAGCAGCCGCGGUGAUACGUAGGGUGCGAGCGUUGUCCGGAUUUAUUGGGCGUAAAGGGCUCGUAGGUGGUUGAUCGCGUCGGAAGUGUAAUCUUGGGGCUUAACCCUGAGCGUGCUUUCGAUACGGGUUGACUUGAGGAAGGUAGGGGAGAAUGGAAUUCCUGGUGGAGCGGUGGAAUGCGCAGAUAUCAGGAGGAACACCAGUGGCGAAGGCGGUUCUCUGGGCCUUUCCUGACGCUGAGGAGCGAAAGCGUGGGGAGCGAACAGGCUUAGAUACCCUGGUAGUCCACGCUGUAAACGGUGGGUACUAGGUGUGGGGUCCAUUCCACGGGUUCCGUGCCGUAGCUAACGCUUUAAGUACCCCGCCUGGGGAGUACGGCCGCAAGGCUAAAACUCAAAGGAAUUGACGGGGCCCCGCACAAGCGGCGGAGCAUGCGGAUUAAUUCGAUGCAACGCGUAGAACCUUACCUGGGUUUGACAUGGAUCGGGAGUGCUCAGAGAUGGGUGUGCCUCUUUUGGGGUCGGUUCACAGGUGGUGCAUGGCUGUCGUCAGCUCGUGU